GAACUCUUUGAGAACACAGUUGAGGCUGAAAAGCAUGCCAUCAGCAUAGCUCUUCUGAAUACUGACAAGGUUCCAGAUGAAGCCAUGGAGGGGAGUGGCCAAGGUGGAGAAAAUAUAAACAUGAGGCUUGACGGAGGAUCUGUGGGAGGGUUGCCAUUCCUCAGGAACCCUCUUCUCUGGUAUCUACCUGGUCCUUCCCACUGAUAAACCCAAGGGGAAGUAAGAGUAUGAGAGAGCUCAGUGGUGCAGGACAUAGAAGUCAGCCUGCUGGGGCGCAGAGCAUCACAGAGAAGAGCAGAGAACGGAUCUGCAAGGACAAAUGGAGGAUCAUCAGUA
Long non-coding RNA from Hipposideros armiger (great roundleaf bat), 336 nucleotides. RefSeq lists it as uncharacterized. Lineage: Eukaryota; Metazoa; Chordata; Mammalia; Chiroptera; Hipposideridae. The record is from RefSeq and is a predicted model, not a curated record. The transcript is spliced from 3 exons.